ACAGUGCAUCAGCAAACACACAAUUAUGUUGUUGGUACAAGUUCUUGAAUGAUUCAGACAUACAAUGCAUCAAUCCUUUGUUACUACAACAACAUCGCAUAAUCCUCUAGAUUGGAAGCGAUGAUGGAGCAGAAUCGGGGAUUAGGCACUUGUGCACGAUCUAUUAUGUUGGUAGCACGAGCAAUGUCUAAAUGGGAUAGGUGCGCAUAAACACAGCAACUACAACAUGUGGCUUGAACCUGCAGUUCGGC
This 251-nucleotide long non-coding RNA is filed under the name Sorghum bicolor (sorghum). RNAcentral's name for it is "long non-coding RNA (SBIC_LNC007143)". Lineage: Eukaryota; Viridiplantae; Streptophyta; Magnoliopsida; Poales; Poaceae. The record is from RNAcentral.